AGCCUGAACGCUGGCGGCGUGGCUAAGACAUGCAAGUCGUACGGGUGUAGCAAUACACCAGUGGCGGACGGGUGAGUAAUGUAUCGCUAACGUACCCCGGAUUCUGGGAUAGCUGCCCGAAAGGGCAGGUAAUACCGGAUGAUAUAUCCUUUUCGCAUGAUGAGGAUCUCAAAGGGAAGCCGUUCUGGGAGCGGGCGAUAUCGUAUCAGCUAGUUGGUGAGGUAACGGCUCACCAAGGCGACGACGCGUAGCCGGACUGAGAGGUUGGCCGGCCACAUUGGGACUGAGACACUGCCCAGACUCCUACGGGGGGCUGCAGUAACGAAUCUUCCGCAAUGCACGCAAGUGUGACGGAGCGACGCCGCGUGUGGGACGAAGUCCUUCGGGAUGUAAACCACUGUCAGGGGUUAGAAAGUUCUGAUCAACCCCAGAGGAAGGCACGGCUAACUCUGUGCCAGCAGCCGCGGUAA
Molecule: ribosomal RNA, 470 nt
Filed under: uncultured bacterium
Lineage: Bacteria
Description: SSU rRNA
Rfam family: Bacterial small subunit ribosomal RNA
Source: RNAcentral